Molecule: long non-coding RNA, 5012 nt
Filed under: Vigna radiata
Lineage: Eukaryota; Viridiplantae; Streptophyta; Magnoliopsida; Fabales; Fabaceae
Description: long non-coding RNA (VRAD_LNC001419)
Source: RNAcentral
AGACCUCGAGCACUGAGGGCAUUUAUAUCUUUAGCUACACUUAAAGAAACAGAACAUACUUUAAUGCUCAUGUGUGAGCUAGCAAAACAUUGGAAUUCGUGGAUUAAGGCAAUACGAAAUGUGGAUAGACAGCUUAGAGAGAAGUGUAUCCAUCUUUUAGCCUUCAUUAGCAGGGGAUCUCAACGCUUUGGUGAAUUGUCAAGCAGGAACGCCCCACUUUUAUGUCCACCUACCCUGAAAGAGGAUUUUGAAAUUUCCUCAAAACCUUCCUUUGUCAAUAGCAAAAAUGGAUGGUUUGCUCUUUCACCACUUGGAUGUGUGCCAAAACCAAAGUUCUCUUCUUUCUCAACCACUUCUACCCAUGGCCAAGCAACUGAGAGUACUGAUCUUAUUCCGAAAACGUGCUUCUCUGAUACUGUAGCCCUGCAGGUAUAUAGAAUAGCAUUUCUUCUUUUAAAGUUUCUCUGUUUACAAACUGAGGGUGCUGCUAAAAGGGCUGAGGAGGUUGGGUUUGUUGAUCUUGCACAUUUUCCUGAGCUGCCAAUGCCAGAAAUCUUGCAUGGAUUACAGGUACCGUGAACUUAACAACCCAUGUAUAUAAUGUUUACAACUUCAUAGUAUGCACAAAUUUAGAAGUAUGUAAAGUUCUGUCAAUGGUUUGAUUUACAGGUGAGCUUAAGGCUUUGCUUUACGCCAAAGAUUAUUUCUUUGUGGGGUGCCUGAAUCCUAGAAGCUAAUAAAUAGAUGUCUGUCUGAGCUUCACUUUCAUUUGGGUGCAGGAUCAAGCUAUUGCCAUUACUACGGAACUCUGUCAAGCCAACAAACAAAGGGUCUCUCCAGAAAUACAGGAUGUUUGCAACUUACUGAUGCAAAUACUUGAAAUGGCCUUGCACUUGGAACUUUGUGUUCUACAAAUUUGUCGCAUAAGACCUGUAUCGGGGCGUGUGGAGGAUUUCUCAAAGGAAGCAAAGUCUCUGUUUAGUGGUAAAAUUAUUCUUCGUUCAUCUGUAGCACUUGCGCUUGAUUCCACUGCCCUUGUCAUUUUUUUCAAUAUUUGUCUUCUGACGUGCUGAAUAUUUCUUGAUGACCUGUGCAGCACUGGAAGGUCAUGCUUUUCUAAAAGCAUCUUGCAACUCUCUAAAACAGAUGAUAUCGUGUGUCUAUCCUGGAUUGUUGCAAGCAGAGAAUUUCAUAUAAGAUUUGAUGUAGACAAAAGAUCAAAUUAUUAAUUGUACAGAAUUUCAUAGUGUUAGUCAGUCUUCUUACUUUGUAGCUAGGUAUUCCUUGUGUUUUUGAUUUAUAAUUGAUUUUUUUUUCUGACCGUUCUUUGUGCUGCAAUUUAUAUCCUUUUCUUUUUUUGGAGAAAAGGUUGUCGCCACUCAUCAAAAUGGCGAUAAUUUGUGGCUAGUGUGUGUUGUAUGAUUGUCGGUACAAAAUGAAAUCUUUGGGGAGGGUCCCUGCACCGUGCCACGGUGAGUCGGUGAUUAUGCCCAAUGCUGUCUAGGUUCCGCUUGAUCAGGACCUAUAGAAAAGGAGAUGUCUUUGACAAAAUUUUGCAAGAGAGGUCAAAUACUUGAUUUUAACCAUAGUUCUAGGUUUCUUGUAAAUGGUCUAUCAUGUGGAAUCGCACUUUAAUUACCAUAUUGAAAACAAUGGCUCAAAAGAACUAGUUUAUAUAUUUAUUUUUGGCAAAAUACUGUAUAAAGGAUUUAACGCCCCAAAUUUGGGUACUGAGCUGACAUGGAAGACAAGUGUAACCUCAGAUCGUGUUAUUAUCACUUCAUUUGUUCAUUCGGUGUUACCAUGCAUGAGGCGUUCCUAUUUUACUGCAUAUUUUAAUACAAUAUUAUAUAUACACAUACAAUAGAUCAUAUUAAAUCUCAAAUAUAGAUUAUUUUUCUAGUUUAAAAGUUUAUCAUCUAAUCAUUUGAAUUUAGUGUAAGCAUUAACUGAUAUGAAGUUAUUCAUUCCUUUGAAACUUAAGUCAAUAAUCGUCUAUGUUUUUGUCAGGAAAUUUUCGGCUUUUGUGUAUCAAAAAAAUUUAAGUCUGAAGUCCGGAAAUUAGUCAUAUUUGUUCUGAAUGGAAUGGACUAAACGUCCCCAAUAAUGCACAAUUCACUGCAUUUUCUUUCCUGCAUCACAAUUAUUCGAAAAUUUAAGGUAACUUAAGAACAGGCGAAACACGUGUGAGAUCAGGUGGCGUUGUUGUGGCGCAUCAGCAUCAUAAUUUAUGUAUAAAUUGGAGUCUAUUAUCUUGCAUUUUUAAGUGCUGUUAGGAACUAUAUGAUGUAGUUGUUUGAUUUAAAAAUCGAUAUUGAAGUUUCGAAAGAUUUCAAAUGACUAAGUGGAUAUUUGGUUAUCCACUUGUGAAAACCCCAUUCUAACUUUUCGAUACACUUCUAAUGUAAAUUAUGUUUCAUGGACCACUUAUAGAAAAGAGACUGUUAUAUGGAUAAAUUGAGUUUCCAAAUAACACUUCUAAUGAAAAAGCCCUGCAUUAAUAACAUUAUUUGUAAUAAAUAAAAAUUAUGUAUUUACUAAGAUGAUAUUUUUUUAAAAUUAUACUAAAUAUAAAUAUCAUUAUUAUAAAGUUAUCUAUUUUUAUUGAGAUGAUAAAGUUAAUUUUACUCAUCAUUCAUAAUCUUUAUAAAAAUAUUAAUAUUUUUCGUGUAAUUUGUUUUUUUCUUCUUUCCUACGAUCUGAAAUAUAUCUUAUUAAUAUAUAUUUGUUUACUUGUUUGAUUUGACAACGACAAAACUUUUACUUUAUUCUUUAUUCUUCGAGACUCUAACUAUUAUUAUUUCUAUUUUCUAUAUUCCAAAAUUUUAUUUUAUAAAUAAAAGUAUUUCAAGACUCUAUAAAGUACCAUCUCUAUCAUGAAAAUCUGUAAAAUUAGAAAUUAAAGCCUCAGCGCCAUAAAUGACUAUAUACAAUAUCAUUAUUAUUAUUAUUAUUUAAUGACAAUAUCUAACUCUUAUGUUUUGGAAUUAAAGUGGACUGCAUUGACUUGACACAGUAAUCGAUGUGUCGUGCCAACUACUUCUAAGAGCAUUUAUAACACAUUUUUUAUAUACAAAAUGAUCCAAGUUUCACUUUUCACUUAGAAAAGUGGUUUAUAUUUUAAAAAUAUUUAACUAGUGCCAAAAAUGUAUAUUAAAAUAAUGAUAGAAAUAAAAAUAAAAUAAAAUAAAAUUAGACGUUUUUAUUUAAUGUUGAAAGAAUAGCACACUGUAGAUGAAUGGUCCCUCUUUGAUGAAUCCUUGUCCACAUUCAUUACACUAUCUUUUUUCACAUCAACUAAUUCUCACGCUAUCUCCACCAAAUAAAAUAAUAUAAAUUCUCACGCAAGAGAUAUACAUUUUAUCACCACCUUUUUUUUUCUUUUCCUAUUAAAAUAAACAAAUUAAAUAUUUUUCAUUUAAUACAUAAAUUAAAAUUACUAUUCAAAUAAGUAUUAUACCAUAACUUUGAAUAGUAAUUAUAAUUUCAAUUUGUUAGAAAAAUGUAUUUAAAAGAAAUAUAAUUAAGAUAGGGAGAAUAUCUCCUUAUCUCGUACUAUCGUAAAUGACGGAGCUUGAUAAUAAAAAUUAAAUUUUUAGAUAUUAGCUUAAAUUAAUAGGGUAUUUUUUCAUAAAAUAUUUAUAAGUGUCAAUGUUUUAACAUUUUUUAAAAUAGACUGGUGAAGGUUGACGACAUGUAUUAAUUAAUUAUUAAAUUUUAAUUUUAAAAAUAUUAUUUGAUUUAGGUUAAAUUUUAGUAAGAAGAAAAUAAUUGGACGUGAUUUUUUCGUAGAGUGGAAAAAGCUUGGAAAGUCCACACCCAUCAAACUCAUUGGCAUAAUCACAAGAGCAUAUCCGUGACAUCGGAUCCGCUUCACUAACCCUAGUCAACUCCAAACUCAACCAUGGUUAAUCCACUUCUCUAACACGCGGCCACGUGUCCCAUCAAACGGUCACUUCCGGAGCCAUUCGCCAGCACGCGCCAUUAUAAAUACUCUCUCUCGUCAAUCUCAACGUCAACCAAAACCCUAAUCCCUCUUCUGCUUACUCGUUGUGACCUUCAUUUCCCGUCUCUGCAACUAUGCCGAACCCUAAGGUCUUCUUCGACAUGACCAUCGGCGGCCAACCCGCCGGCAAGAUCGUGUUUGAGCUCUUUGCCGACACCACUCCCCGCACCGCCGAGAACUUCCGCGCUCUCUGCACCGGUGAGAAGGGAGUCGGUAGGAGCGGCAAGCCGCUCCACUACAAGGGCUCGAUCUUCCACCGUGUGAUCCCGAACUUCAUGUGCCAAGGAGGCGACUUCACCGCCGGAAACGGCACAGGCGGCGAGUCGAUCUACGGCGCCAAGUUCGCCGACGAGAACUUCGUGAAGAAGCACACCGGUCCUGGCAUUCUCUCCAUGGCGAACGCCGGUCCUGGAACCAACGGAUCUCAGUUCUUCAUCUGCACAACGAAGACGGAGUGGCUCGACGGCAAGCACGUGGUGUUCGGACAGGUCGUUGAGGGACUGAACGUGGUGAAGGAGAUCGAGAAGGUCGGAUCCAGCUCCGGCAAGACCUCGAGGCCGGUCGCCAUCGCUGACUGUGGUCAACUCUCCUAGAUGGACGGCGUUGACCCGAGGCGGUUGUGUCUAUGCUGGUGGCUCUGAAUCUGUGUCGUUUUUUCACUGUCGAUUUUUCCUUUUUUUUUUCUCCUGUCUAAUAGAGGGAUUGUGGCGUUACAGAUCAUCUCGAACCCUUCCCUUUGAAUCCUUUCCUUUGUUUCUAAUAUCAGUAUGUGGUCAUAGAGUGAUUCGAGUGUGUCAUGAGAAACAUAAAAAUGAUGAGCUACCUUCAAUAAAAACUUAGGACCCUUGUUAUUCGCCUAAUUUUAUCCUUCAUUUUCUCUUUCGAUCUGCUUUUCCUUGUUUCUAAUAAUGAAUACUGUUAACCACUGUUCAUCAUGCGCUUGAUGAACCGCGAUCUGUGUUGCAUCAUCAUCAUUAUUGUACUUUUAUGUAGAUAUUUUAUUUGU